GGGUGCAUCUACAGUUCAAGUGUUCAGUGCUGGGAGGCAAACCAGCUAUCCUGAAGUACCUACUGCUUACUCAUCUAAUUCUCUUACACUCUUCCUCCUCCACUCUCUCAGGAAAGAGCAGUGCUUCUGAAGCUUCCCAGAGGCAAUGAACAUAUCCUGAAGAUUCCCUCCCUCCACUAGACAGGUUCACAGCUAUAUUCUGACUCUACCUGUUUCAGAGGAACAGAACCUGUGGAGCACUUCCCUCAUGCCUGUCUCAUCAACCACAUGUUAGAACAAAAAUUUUCAAAACUCCAGAGGCAAGAGAAGCUUCAGUGCUACUCCAGACACAUCUGUUUACAAGUGUUCAAUAUUUGUGUUCAGGGGGUCUACAGGGUGCCUGCUGUAAGAAACUUCCAGAAGCUUUACAUGUGUCCAACAGAGUCAAUGCCAGCCAGCUCCAGGGUGGACCUGCCACUGGCCAAGGCUGAGCCCACAGCAGCAGCACCUCUCAG
Passer domesticus (house sparrow) is the source of this 494-nucleotide long non-coding RNA. RefSeq lists it as uncharacterized. The record is from RefSeq and is a predicted model, not a curated record. Lineage: Eukaryota; Metazoa; Chordata; Aves; Passeriformes; Passeridae. The transcript is spliced from 4 exons.